This 72-nucleotide transfer RNA is filed under the name Cetorhinus maximus. RNAcentral describes it as "tRNA-Leu". Lineage: Eukaryota; Metazoa; Chordata; Chondrichthyes; Lamniformes; Cetorhinidae. The record is from RNAcentral.
GCCUCUGAAAGAUAAUAGCUAUCUAUUGGUCUUAGGAACCAAAAAUUCUUGAUGCAACUCCAAGCAGAAGCU